UGGGACGGAGGUAGUAGAAAAUAGUCGCACAAACUUGUAAUAUUUCGGUGGGCAAAAAAUGUGCCCCCACGCGACUUUGAACCCGCGCCCGCAUGUAGAAGUAGGAGCGUAACCACUGGGCCAAGACGCCUUAGUUGCUUAAGUCAACAUGUGUGUUUUAUUUCUACGUUUCUUACCUGGGAACAAACAAGAAUAGCACUGUUACGAGACUUGAAUGACGCAAUCGUUUAGCCAAAACAGCAUGCAGAUAUGACACAAAAUAUAUUCUAGAGCAUCAUAGAUUUAACAAUGUAAAUAACAUCUAUAAUAUAACAGAUUCGCUAAGAACAGUUUUCCUAAAAGGCCUUGCACCCAGUUAUGAUCAAUUGCAACUCACUGAGGCUGUUGCAUCAAAAACACAAACAUUCAACAGAGAUAGGUAGAUAAAAGAUAAGUAUAUUUUACAUAAAAUGUGUACCACAGAAGUGACAGCAACAACUGGCAUACAUUACUUAACUCUAGCUAUUAAAGCUUUUGGGUUCACAAUCAUUGCAGACCAUAUUACAAAGCAUAGUUCACCUGACAUCCAUCCAUCCACACAUCAGGCACAAGCACGUACACAAAAGCAGUACUUAACUAUUACAUAAUUAAGUUAUUAAGUCAGACAUAUUUGAACAACUAUAUAUCCUAGCUAGGGACACCACGCAUUCUUUCACAUAUUAUCAUCUGUUGAUGAUUCAUCUGGCCUUGGUGAGUACCGGUGGUGAUACUGGCGCUUGAGGAGGACACGCAAAUUCUCGCCCUUUUUCUUCAACUGUCAUUACACAAAGGGGCAAGUUAGCAUAUAGAUAAUUGAACCUUAGGAAUUGUAAUAUGUUCAGGAGCCAUAUAUCACCUCCUUGGCCAUCGGAAGCAGCCAGUCUCCUGUCUCCUCAUCGCUGUCAUGCGAAAAGGAGCACUCAACUGUCAUCUUCUUAUUGAUGAUGAACUUUAUAUGGCGGCCUUUGGGGGAAACUGCAUUAAAAAAAUCAGUCACUAUUAGAUUUAGAAACAUGGAUGAUUGCAAGUGCUAAAUUAAUCUCAAACAAUAUAUCUGAUGAUCACAUUUCAGCUAGUGUUGGACUUUAAUGACUUAAAACCAAAGGUUGGCAAAUCCAUCCAGCAGCUGUACAUAUUGUUCUGCUAUUUCAUAUGCAUUGUUAACAAUUUUCUGGUUUGUUUUAGGGCCGUAUUCUGCAUUGUUAACCAUCAUAUGGACAUGAUGAGGGAACUCGACCUACGAGCCUACCAUUGGUUAGAAAAUUUGGA
RNAcentral lists this long non-coding RNA (1287 nucleotides) under Sorghum bicolor (sorghum). Its description in RNAcentral is "long non-coding RNA (SBIC_LNC006802)". Lineage: Eukaryota; Viridiplantae; Streptophyta; Magnoliopsida; Poales; Poaceae. The record is from RNAcentral.